RNAcentral lists this ribosomal RNA (253 nucleotides) under [Clostridium] symbiosum. Its description in RNAcentral is "partial 16S ribosomal RNA". It matches the Rfam family "Bacterial small subunit ribosomal RNA", at positions 524 to 776 of the family's 1533-position model. Lineage: Bacteria; Bacillati; Bacillota; Clostridia; Lachnospirales; Lachnospiraceae. The record is from RNAcentral. RNAcentral also lists the same sequence under 1 other name.
UACGUAGGGGGCAAGCGUUAUCCGGAUUUACUGGGUGUAAAGGGAGCGUAGACGGUAAAGCAAGUCUGAAGUGAAAGCCCGCGGCUCAACUGCGGGACUGCUUUGGAAACUGUUUAACUGGAGUGUCGGAGAGGUAAGUGGAAUUCCUAGUGUAGCGGUGAAAUGCGUAGAUAUUAGGAGGAACACCAGUGGCGAAGGCGACUUACUGGACGAUAACUGACGUUGAGGCUCGAAAGCGUGGGGAGCAAACAGG